Molecule: ribosomal RNA, 392 nt
Filed under: uncultured bacterium
Lineage: Bacteria
Description: bacterial SSU rRNA
Rfam family: Bacterial small subunit ribosomal RNA
Source: RNAcentral
GACGAACGCUGGCGGCGUGCUUAACACAUGCAAGUCGAGCGGUAAGGCCCUUUCGGGGGUACACGAGCGGCGAACGGGUGAGUAACACGUGGGUGACCUGCCCUUAGCUCUGGGAUAAGCCUGGGAAACUGGGUCUAAUACCGGAUAUGACUCCAUGACGCAUGUUGUGGGGUGGAAAGCCUUGUGCGGCUAGGGAUGGGCCCGCGGCCUAUCAGCUUGUUGGUGGGGUGANGGCCUACCAAGGCGACGACGGGUAGCCGGCCUGAGAGGGCGACCGGCCACACUGGGACUGAGACACGGCCCAGACUCCUACGGGAGGCAGCAGUGGGGAAUCUUGCGCAAUGGGCGAAAGCCUGACGCAGCGACGCCGCGUGGGGAUGACGGCCUGGUGU